GACGAACGCUGGCGGCGUGCCUAAUACAUGCAAGUAGAACGCUGAAGGAGGAGCUUGCUUCUCUGGAUGAGUUGCGAACGGGUGAGUAACGCGUAGGUAACCUGCCUGGUAGCGGGGGAUAACUAUUGGAAACGAUAGCUAAUACCGCAUAAUAGUAGAUGUUGCAUGACAUUUGCCUAAAAGGUGCAAUUGCAUCACUACCAGAUGGACCUGCGUUGUAUUAGGUAGUUGGGGGGGUAACGGCUCACCAAGGCGACGAUACAUAGCCGACCUGAGAGGGUGAUCGGCCACACUGGGACUGGAGAACGGCCCAGGCUCCUUCGGGAGGCAGCAGGAGGGAAACUUCGGCAAUGGACGGAAGUCUGACCGAGCAACGCCGCGGGAGGGAAGAAGGUUUUCGGAUCGGAAAGCUCUGUUGUAAGGGAAGAACGAGUGUGAGAGUGGAAAGUUCACACUGUGACGGUAUCUUACCAGAAAGCGACGGCUAACUACGUG
Molecule: ribosomal RNA, 495 nt
Filed under: uncultured bacterium
Lineage: Bacteria
Description: partial 16S ribosomal RNA
Rfam family: Bacterial small subunit ribosomal RNA
Source: RNAcentral